Taeniopygia guttata (zebra finch) is the source of this 1406-nucleotide long non-coding RNA. RefSeq lists it as uncharacterized. The record is from RefSeq and is a predicted model, not a curated record. NCBI's taxonomy places the organism in Eukaryota, Metazoa, Chordata, Aves, Passeriformes, Estrildidae.
GCAGACCUCUGCUGAGAAGACAAGCAAUACUGCAGAGCUCUGCAACAAGAUUUGAGAGCUUGAGAUGUGACCUCUGGCAUCACCUGGAAAUGGGCGCUUGCAGUCUGAAAAGCCAAGUACAUCUUGGAAUGCAUCAAAAGAUAUGUAGCCAGCAGGUUGAGGGAGGUUGAUUCUCGUCCUCUGCUCUGCUCCUGUGAGACCCCUCCUGGAGUACUGCAUCCAACUAUGGGAUCCUCAAUGUGAGGACAUGGAUCUGCUGGAGCACAUCCAGAGGAGGGCCACAAAGAUGCUCAAAGAGCUGGACUAUCCCUGUUAUGCAGACAGGCUGAGAUUUGGGAUUGUACAGCCUAGAGAAGAUUCUAAGGAGACUAUAGCAGCUUUCCAGUACCUAAAACAUAGCUUAUAAUAAAGCUGCAGAGGGACUUUUCAGAAGGACAUGUAAAGGUACGACAACAGGGAAUGGUUUUCAGUUGAAAGAGGAUAUAUUUAGGCUAGAGAUGAGAGUAGUAAAACAGUGGAACAACUUGCCCAUCAAAGCUGUGAUCUGGAAUCAUCCACAUCUGUUCCAGGGAUGAUCCCUGGAAGUGUUCAAGGCUGGGUUGGAUGAGUCUCUGAGAAACUUGGUCUUUAGAAGGUCUCACCACCUCUGGCAGAGUGCUUGGAACUAGAUGAUCAUUAAGAUCUCUCCCAGCCCAAACUACUCUAUGAUCUUAUGAUUCUAUAAUAAAUGUUAAAGAAGAACUGGUCUAUUUUUUUCAUAGUUAAGUAAUCUGUCAUUCUUAUUGAAUACUGCUGGGGCAGCAGUAUCGGUAAAAACCUAAAAAACAGGAACAGCAAUAGCAUUUUCAGUAUUGUGUUAUGCAAUUCUGUUCUGAAACUUCAAUUAAUGUACCAUGAGAAUAAAAUGUAUGUGAAGUGUUUACACCUCCAGUGGUUCUUCCCUUGAGCAGCUGCACAGCAGAAUUAUAAGCCACACAGAGACAAGUUAUAGGAUUCAUGACAGACAGAGAGGGAAUUGUCUUGUCAGUCUCACAAGUGUGAGGAUUGCAAACGGAAUCUCAUCAACUGUAAUUUCUAUUCCACUUUGUACAUCAAAUGCCUCAACUAAAAUUCCACAUUCUACUGUGACUGAAUGAACUUGCUCCUUUUGGACAGCUGCAUUCCCUGAGCCUCCCAGUACCCUGAAAAAAUAACAAAACUGUCCAUAAGAAUUAGAAGUGAAAGAUGAGAUAAAUAGCAAGAAUUUGGUGGUCAUUAGUACCGUGGUUUUGCCUAUCAGACUGCAAACAAAGAAAGAUAGGUUUCUUCAGCAUCUUUUCAUCAUGACCAUUGUACUCUUUGGUGAAAUGGUGGGAAACACUUGAUAUUACAAUAAAUUUAAUUGCAAGCAAAUAUCAAAAAGAAAA